This 2212-nucleotide long non-coding RNA is filed under the name Helianthus annuus (common sunflower). RNAcentral describes it as "hypothetical non coding rna". Lineage: Eukaryota; Viridiplantae; Streptophyta; Magnoliopsida; Asterales; Asteraceae. The record is from RNAcentral.
UUUUGUUUGGGGUUUUCAGCAGGUGAACGCUCCUCCAUAAAUCGUACUCCAUUGCUGGAAAGUAUCAGGUGAACGCUUCAAUCAAACGUGUUUUGGAUUAUCUGUGGAACCCAAUUCGAGUUUCCAAGUGCAGUUCUAUCAACCCCCACUACCCAAAAUUGCGCUACACUUUUCUUAUAGAAAACAUACAUCCAACACUCUGGUUCUCUAGACGCAGAAGGGGAAGAGCAAGAUUCGAGAGCUGACUCUUCGAGAAAUUAGCGACAUUAAGCCAUCACUAUCAUCUUCUUCAGCAGCAAUUUCGUUAGCAUGAAAUUAGUUUAUUCGAUUGGCAGCAGGUGGCAACACAUAGGUAGAGCAUCCACUUCAACUGUUAUAAGUUGAUAUAAUUCAAUUAUAGAAUUUGACAAAAUUGUGGACCAUCUUGCAACUGUAGAUCGUGGGGUUAAUGUUGUUUUAUUUGAAAGAACUGAGAAAACACAUUUUUAAAAAGUGAGAGACACCCAAAAGCGACGAGGUCUAAAACUGAGGCGUGAAGUGCAAAAGCGGCAGGCUUUUCGUACCCAAGGCGCAAAGUGAGUAUAUAAAAUAUAUUACAACAGUUUGAUGCAUAAAGACAACGUAAAAACACCCUAGGUACAAGAGGCGCGCUCCUCAGGUCAGAAAAGCCGUCCAAAAUUGCUCUUUUUGGUGCUUCUUGUAAGAAGCACGCCUCGGGCUAUUAAAGGCGCAAAGGCUUGCGCCUCGCGCGUCAGGCGCACUUUUUAAAACCCAGAAUAGGAUGUGGUGUUAUAGAAGAGUUUAAGGAGGAAUAGAUUGUUUCCACAACCCACACCCUGAAUUUCAUUAUAUAACCGAAUUCCAAAGUCAUGAGCCAAAGGUAUGCAUUAUCUCCAUCUUUUUCUUGUAACAAAAUUAGAUUCCUUGUGGUUCGUUUCAUGUGAAUUAAUUCUACUGUUGGUGCUUGUAUCUUCGGUUUGACUAUCUAAAAAGCUUGGAAAUUGAGGAGAAUAUCAACUAGAUCAGAUGGUGUUACAGAACUAACUACGCUAUGUUUUUGCUGUCCUUUGAUUAUAAAACUCUAAAAUUCUUUAAGGUACGGGUUCUAGAAAAAAGGUCUGAUAGUAUUAUAGUACUAUUGUAAUAGGUUGCCAUAUAAUGUUUUUUUAUAUUAUACACGGUCUAAGGUGGCAUCAUGGGGGUUGGGUGGGUCGCGUAACCUGUUAAAACGGAUACUAUUUUUUGGGUGGUUCCAAGCAUGUUGGAUCGGGUGAGUUGACCUGUGAUUACAGAAACUAUUAUUAGUGUAAUAUUUUAAUUUUUAAUAGAAUUAUCUAAGACUUUCUUUGCAUUGAAGGGUCGAAACUGGUUUUUUUUUUCUUUUGUGGAUUAGAUGGGUCGCGUAACCUUUCCCGAUUGCAACACCAACACGUUGUGUGUUACCAUCAGGUAAGUUUCUAUGCUGUCCUUUUUCACAAUAUAUAAGAGGUAGUAAAAUGGGCAGGACUAACAAGGCCAGAAGGUGCAACUUUUUGUUACAGGUCAGGUCUAAACGAACGCUUUUUAUGUGUGAAUUUAUUAAAUUUCUUUGCAAAUAAUUACUAUUUGGCACAUUUCGUUUUAAGUUAUAUUUUUACGUGUUUGGCCCGUUUGAGAUGAAACAUAGCUUGAAUUUACACUUCCAUAAGUGAAUGGGUCAAAGUUAGAAGACUGUUAUAUACUACAUCAAGUAGAAUGCCAUGUAAAAUAUGAUCAUGUCACUAGCUUUUGAAGGUGACUCAUAUGUAUUUUUCUAAAAUAAUCCAGGCAUGGUUUGCAACAGGAGAUGCAGGUUGUAAUGGUGAUGCCACAUGGGGUUCAAGGUCGGUGGUCAUCACAGCCACGUAGACUUUGUAUUCAAAAGACGAAAUUUAAAUAUAUACAUGGAUGGAUGCUACACUUCAUGAGCUAACUAAUCUGGUCUCAAUCCAAAUCAGCAGUUACGUAGGGUUGGGAACUAGCUCUACUCGAUUGUCCACUUAAUAUAGAUUAUCUUUGUUUUGUUUGUUACGAUGUCAACGUAACCCGUCCACUAGACGGAUAUUAAACUAGUUUAGUGUGUUAGAUUUAUAUAUUAUUUGUUAUUUAAAAUAUGUUCUGUUUUUUAUAAUCUAAUUUUAAUUAAACCUUAAAAAUGUAGUCAUUCGUUUAAUAAAAUGUGGUGUGAAUGGUU